Molecule: ribosomal RNA, 497 nt
Filed under: uncultured bacterium
Lineage: Bacteria
Description: partial 16S ribosomal RNA
Rfam family: Bacterial small subunit ribosomal RNA
Source: RNAcentral
GAUGAACGCUGGCGGCGUGCCUAAUACAUGCAAGUCGAGCGAACAGACGAGGAGCUUGCUCCUCUGACGUUAGCGGCGGACGGGUGAGUAACACGUGGAUAACCUACCUAUAAGACUGGGAUAACUUCGGGAAACCGGAGCUAAUACCGGAUAAUAUAUUGAACCGCAUGGUUCAAUAGUGAAAGACGGUGUUGCUGUCACUUAUAGAUGGAUCCGCGCCGCAUUAGCUAGUUGGUAAGGUAACGGCUUACCAAGGCGACGAUGCGUAGCCGACCUGAGAGGGGGAUCGGCCACACUGGAACUGAGACACGGUCCAGACGCCUACGGGAGGCAGCAGUAGGGAAUCUUCCGCAAUGGGCGAAAGCCUGACGGAGCAACGCCGCGUGAGUGAUGAAGGUCUUCGGAUCGUAAAACUCUGUUAUUAGGGAAGAACAAAUGUGUAAGUAACUAUGCACGUCUUGACGGUACCUAAUCAGAAAGCCACGGCUAACUACGUG